This 573-nucleotide small RNA is filed under the name Arabidopsis thaliana (thale cress). Its description in RNAcentral is "ATSL097450". The record is from RNAcentral. Lineage: Eukaryota; Viridiplantae; Streptophyta; Magnoliopsida; Brassicales; Brassicaceae.
UUACAUAAUGAAAUCGUGUUGGAAGUUUUGAUAAUAACAUGUCCACUUAGACGUGACUAUGUGGAAAUAAUUGAUUCUCAUAUGCAAAGUAAAAUACUCUUAACUUAGAAGUUCAACGAUAUUAUCAAUUUAUCGAACCAAAAUCAUAUGAUACCAAACAAGCUGAUCAAAUGGAUAUAAAAUUCAAUACUGGAAUUGGCCAAUUUGGUUUAUCUACAACCUGGUGGUUCAUGGAAUCGAAAAAUAAAUUAUUUAAGAGCAAAAACAGAAAACAAUGGAAAAAACGAAGAGGAUGUGAAUAUGUGUUGAUAUUACCAUGGCAGUUCUUUAAAUCCAACAGAUCCUCUCUUAUAAAAAUCAGAUUCAUAUUCUGAAGUUGGUUAUCUGAAAAAUUCUCCUUAAUCAAAGCAGACACGGAGAAAUCGGGAGAUCUGAUUAACUGGAAAAAUAAAGUUGAAUCUGAUUGUUCAAUCAAUCUCUCUUUUUCUAGAAAGCUGAUGAUUUAUUGAAGAAGGAAGAAAGAAAGAAGCUGAUGAUUUCUUCUUUGCAAACGUUCAAACAGCUUUUUUCUUU